This 221-nucleotide ribosomal RNA is filed under the name uncultured bacterium. RNAcentral describes it as "partial 16S ribosomal RNA". It matches the Rfam family "Bacterial small subunit ribosomal RNA", at positions 114 to 334 of the family's 1533-position model. The record is from RNAcentral.
CGCGUAUCCAACCUGCCCAUCACUUGGGGAUAACCUUGCGAAAGUAAGACUAAUACCCAAUGACGUCUCUAGAAGACAUCUGAAGGAGAUUAAAGAUUUAUCGGUGAUGGAUGGGGAUGCGUCUGAUUAGCUUGUUGGCGGGGUAACGGCCCACCAAGGCUACGAUCAGUAGGGGUUCUGAGAGGAAGGUCCCCCACAUUUGGAACUGAGACACGGUCCAA